This 2313-nucleotide ribosomal RNA is filed under the name Triticum aestivum (bread wheat). Its description in RNAcentral is "partial small subunit ribosomal RNA". The record is from RNAcentral. Lineage: Eukaryota; Viridiplantae; Streptophyta; Magnoliopsida; Poales; Poaceae.
AUGAGUAAUCACAAGGUUAAUGAUUACUGCAAGCUGUUCAAGACCGAGAAUCAUCUUGGGAAUGCUACAGUGACGAGCUUGUUACAUUAUGCAAGAUACUUGUCGAAGAGCUCAAGGGGAACAGUGACCCGGAUAGAAGUAUUUGUAUUACUGACUGCUGCUCUCUUCCUGUUUCUUGCUACCUUUGGAGCAUAUCGUCGCCAGCACAAAAACUUGUUCAUCCUGAAAGUUGUUUUUGGCAUGUGUACCUUAUCCUCCUCACUGAUAACAUACAUAUUCGGUUCAAUGCAAUCUUCUGCAGUGAAGAGCAGCAUGUACUCCAUAUGGGCCAUAUCUCUCUUCCUCCUUUAUGGUUCUACUGACGCUAUGGCGGCUUCUAGUCUCGAUGACACCAGACAGAGCAUUUUAAUAUACACAUACCAUACUUCACUCUGGUAUGUGUAUGUGGUGUUGCUUUUGUUAUCAGUAACAUCAAGUGAUGGUGCCUUUCAUGUUAGCAUGUCGAUUGAUGAUAGUCAUCUAAAAGGUUUACUUACCUGCCCAGUUAUUUUUCUACAUUUCAUUGCUGUACUAAAAUCCUUACAGAGAGUAGCGGUGUGUGUGAUGGCAAGCAACUCAUGGAAACUGAAUAAAAUGGUUGCUGAUUACAUGUAUGACGAGCACACCAGGGGUGAAUUUGUUCCUGCCACCAUGGAAGGUUGCCAUUACCUGGUUGAUUGGCCCCUCAGCAAAUCCAAGCUUGGUACUUCAUCAUUUGCAACAGUAUUAACAGCAGAGGAUGAUGAAGUCAUUGACAUUGAGAAGAUAUGGCAGUGCAAUGAUAGUUCAAUAGGCCUAGAGCUAAAAUAUGCAUGCCUUUCCUUCUCCCUUUUUCAUCUGUUGAGAAGGCGCUACUUUGGGCUUGCCUGUUGUGAAUCCAAAGAAAGGGCACAUGAUUUUGUCUUCAAGGGGCUGCUAUCAGAGAAUGCUACAGACUGCAAUAGGAUUUUCAGGGUUAUUGAGAUAGAGUUGGCCUUCAUGUAUGAUUGCUUCUUCACCAAGUAUGCUGUCAUUUAUUAUGCAUCAACGGCUGCAACAUUUUGGUCCUUGGCUUCAGUCAUCUGCAUUUCUCUUACAGCAUACACAGUAGCCACCCGUCUGUUGAUCAUUCGAUGUGAUCAGGAUGAGCCCCUUCUUGUGAACACCAAAACGGAGGUUGUGAUCACCUUAUCACUACUUGCAUGCGCUGCUUUGCUUGAAUUGCUGCAGUUGUUACAUUAUUGGACAGCCAUUUGGGCGAGAGUAUCCUAUGUUUGUCAGUUUAUCAGACAGCAAUCAGUAUUGGACAGAAGGGGGUGCCACUGCUUGAUGAGAUUAAAAGAGCUUCUUACCAAGAUUGGUGUUUAUUGUGCGUCAGACAAACACUACUGGCAACACAAGCUUGGGCAGUACUCCUUGCUUGAAUCAGUCAGCUGCAAUUCUAACCCUUCCAAGAAAGAGCAUAGAGUAAUCAACAAAUUCGGGGAAUUUAUAUACUCAGCAGUCAGAUGGUUUACUCUUUUUGAUAGAGCACACAUGCACCGAACUAGUUAUGAUGCAUCAGUGAUCUGCAUGAAACCUGGUAAACCCAUCGAGUUGCCUACAGAAGUAAAGGAGGCAAUUGUCCAUUCCCUUGAACAUACUGAUGGCAAACUAACAAAUGGGAAUUCAUCGUUGGUGUCAAAUGGAGCAGAGCACCUCCUAUGGGCUUGUGGACAGGACAUCUACCCAAAUAUAAGCCGCUUCCUGGGAAAGGAGAACCAGACGCACCUUAUCAUGACUUGGCACAUAGCAACAUGUUACUGUGAGAUGACAACAAUGAAAAACCUUCGCUCAGAUGAUGAAGAAAAACUCAGGCCCCAUCUUGACGUUGCCACGAAACUAUCAAAAUACUGUGCGUACUUGGUGGUCUCUGCACGAAAGCUUCUUCCUGGCCACCGAUAUGAUACACUGUCUGUGCUUGAUGCAGUUGCAGUGGAAGCAACCAAAUUCCUGAAAAAUUCGAGGGACAGGUAUGAAGUGAUGAGGAAUUUAGCAGAAUCAGAGGAGACCAUCUUCGAGGGCGGCACCAAGCUGGGGAAGCAGCUCGAGGAGAUUGAAGAUGUGACACACCGUUGGAAGGUGCUGGCUGAUUUCUGGGCAGAGAUGUUGCUCUACCUUGCGCCAUCAGAUAAUGUUAAGGAGCACAUCGAGGAGCUCGGGAAUGGUGGGGAGUUCAUCACGCACCUGUGGGCUUUACUCACUCAUGCGGGCAUCCUUGAGAGGCAGGAGGAUCAUCAAGUUGGAAGCGUGUAA